CCUACGGGUGGCUGCAGUGGGGAAUAUUGGACAAUGGGGGUAACCCUGAUCCAGCCAUGCCGCGUGUGUGAAGAAGGCCCUCGGGUUGUAAAGCACUUUCAGUGAGGAAGAACGCCUGGUGGUUAAUACCCAUCAGGAAAGACAUCACUCACAGAAGAAGCACCGGCUAACUCCGUGCCAGCAGCCGCGGUAAUACGGAGGGUGCGAGCGUUAAUCGGAAUUACUGGGCGUAAAGCGCGCGUAGGUGGCUUGAUAAGCCGGUUGUGAAAGCCCCGGGCUCAACCUGGGAACGGCAUCCGGAACUGUCAAGCUAGAGUGCCGGAGAGGAAGGUAGAAUUCCCGGUGUAGCGGUGAAAUGCGUAGAGAGCGGGAGGAAUACCAGUGGCGAAGGCGGCCUUCUGGACUGACACUGACACUGAGGUGCGAAAGCGUGGGUAGCAAACAGGAUUAGAUACCCUUGUAGUC
This 465-nucleotide ribosomal RNA is filed under the name Vreelandella stevensii. Its description in RNAcentral is "partial 16S ribosomal RNA". It matches the Rfam family "Bacterial small subunit ribosomal RNA", at positions 338 to 795 of the family's 1533-position model. The record is from RNAcentral. Lineage: Bacteria; Pseudomonadati; Pseudomonadota; Gammaproteobacteria; Oceanospirillales; Halomonadaceae.